CCUACGGGAGGCUGCAGUGAGGAAUAUUGGUCAAUGGACGAGAGUCUGAACCAGCCAAGUAGCGUGAAGGAUGACUGCCCUAUGGGUUGUAAACUUCUUUUAUAUGGGAAUAAAAUGUUCCACGUGUGGGAUUUUGUAUGUACCAUAUGAAUAAGGAUCGGCUAACUCCGUGCCAGCAGCCGCGGUAAUACGGAGGAUCCGAGCGUUAUCCGGAUUUAUUGGGUUUAAAGGGAGCGUAGGUGGAUUGUUAAGGCAGUUGUGAAAGUGUGCGGCUCAACCGUAAAAUUGCAGUUGAAACUGGCAGUCUUGAGUACAGUAGAGGUGGGCGGAAUUCGUGGUGUAGCGGUGAAAUGCUUAGAUAUCACGAAGAACUCCGAUUGCGAAGGCAGUUCACUGGACUGCAACUGACACUGAGGCUCGAAAGUGUGGGUAUCAAACAGGAUUAGAUACCCUUGUAGUC
Molecule: ribosomal RNA, 460 nt
Filed under: uncultured bacterium
Lineage: Bacteria
Description: partial 16S ribosomal RNA
Rfam family: Bacterial small subunit ribosomal RNA
Source: RNAcentral